Molecule: ribosomal RNA, 253 nt
Filed under: uncultured bacterium
Lineage: Bacteria
Description: partial 16S ribosomal RNA
Rfam family: Bacterial small subunit ribosomal RNA
Source: RNAcentral
UACAGAGGAUGCAAGCGUUAUCCGGAAUGAUUGGGCGUAAAGCGUCUGUAGGCGGCUUUUUAAGUCCGCCGUGAAAUCCCAGGGCUCAACUCUGGACAGGCGGUGGAAACUACCAAGCUGGAGUUCGGUAGGGGCAGAGGGAAUUUCCGGUGGAGCGGUGAAAUGCGUAGAGAUCGGGAAGAACACCAACGGCGAAAGCACUCUGCUGGGCCGACACUGACACUGAGAGACGAAAGCUAGGGGAGCGAAUGGG